UACGUAGGGUGCAAGCGUUGUCCGGAAUUAUUGGGCGUAAAGAGUUCGUAGGCGGCGCGGUAAGUCAGGUGUGAAAUCUCGGGGCUUAACUCCGAAACUGCAUUCGAUACUGCCGUGCUUGAGGACUGGAGAGGAGACUGGAAUUUACGGUGUAGCGGUGAAAUGCGUAGAUAUCGUAAGGAAGACCAGUGGCGAAGGCGGGUCUCUGGACAGUUCCUGACGCUGAGGCACGAAGGCCAGGGGAGCAAACGGG
RNAcentral lists this ribosomal RNA (253 nucleotides) under uncultured bacterium. Its description in RNAcentral is "partial 16S ribosomal RNA". It matches the Rfam family "Bacterial small subunit ribosomal RNA", at positions 524 to 776 of the family's 1533-position model. The record is from RNAcentral.